UCUUGCAGAAGUAUUAAGUUAGCUGCAUUUGAUCCACUGUGUCAGAGUCUGUUUAUUUUUUCCCCCAGUGACAAAUCCAGAGAACUUCUGUUGGAUCCAGCUAAAGUGUUCUGAAGCUGCAGCAUCUAAGAAGAGGAUUUGCCCACCCUGCAAAAGAUGCCCUUGUAGCAGCCUAUCAUCCUAUCACAGGCGGAACUGACCUUGCACCUUUCACAUUUCUUUCAAAAUUACCCUGCAGAACCUCAGGAAACACUGACCAAGGAGCCAAACUCUGGGGUAUGGGCUGGAAGGACAAAAGCUUUGCAGAUUGUUGCACACCAAGACACAAUGAAAGGCAGCUAAGCAAGGCUUGAUUUUUAUGUUGACAGUCUACUGUAAUUAGAGACAAUGCCCCAGAUCUGCUGGACCUAGAUCCUGUGUGUUCAUCCAUGCCUAGCAAUCAGCAAAACACACUUCCUACAGU
RNAcentral lists this long non-coding RNA (463 nucleotides) under Zonotrichia albicollis (white-throated sparrow). Its description in RNAcentral is "lncRNA (ENSZALG00000004003.1)". Lineage: Eukaryota; Metazoa; Chordata; Aves; Passeriformes; Passerellidae. The record is from RNAcentral.